ACAAAUCUAGAAAACAAACACAAAAAUUAACGAACUAAAAACUUUAAAUAAAACCUAGCUAAACAAAAUUUCCAUUCAAUUUGCAAUCCAUAGCAAAUUUUAAAAAUUAGAACAUCUGUUCACUAGAUCCAACUAAUCCCACCAUAGAUUCUAAGCUAUUUAGAAUCGAUUAGAAAAGAAUUCACAAACUUCCUUCGGUGUAAAGUGAACCAUCAUAGUUAAGGAGACUCAAGUAAAACCUUUACCCUUCAUCCCUUUUAUUCAUACUUCACACACUUAUAGAAUCAUUCUUCUUCUUCUUAUUUUUAUUUUUAUUAUUAUUUUUUUCCAGUAAUAGUGGUGGUUGUGCAAUGUUGGUUCCCUUAAGCUUUCGAUUCAACCCAUGUAGCGAGCUUUAGGUCAAUGACUCCCAAAUCACUAAGACUUUAGGGCACUAGGCCCUAAGGACUUAUUAACUCUAAGCUGAAAAGGCUACGAAACCAACCACCCUGCCUCAUGCCAAAACUCUACCGUUUGACUCAAGAAUCAAUGUUGAUUAGGCAGGAUUGGCCCGGUUACUAACAAAAAGCUUUGGGUAAGGCAAUUAUUACUUUAUAACACAUACUAACUCUUUUUGUUUUUUUUUUGGUUUUUGGAACAAAAAAUAAAAUACACUGGGACAAAAAGUAAGUAUUUCAAUCUCACUCUCCACAAACCAUGUUGGUGUGAUGUGCAAAUUUCAAAGUAUAAUUCAUGAAUUAACGUAUAAGCAACGAUAAAUAGAAAAGACUCCAAUGUGAGAUUGAUCUUCACCAUGUCCAUUUGUUCUAACAUUUAAAAUAAUCUAUGGAUAUUAACUUAAAAAUGAAAAUUUUUAACAAGACUAAAAAAAAAAAAAAAAAAAAAAACUCAAAUCUCAAAUUUACUAUCCCACUCCCAAACUUAAAUCACACAUUGUCCUCAAAGUGUGGAAAAGAAAAUAAAGAAGUUAAUAAAAAUAGUAAAACCUAAAAUAAAACAUAAAAAAUAUGCGUGUGAAAAUAAAGGACAAUACUUAAGAAAAAUUAAAAUAAGAAUAGAAGGGAAAGAACACAUCUUGGACGCCAUCUGUUGUCAAGCCUGGGCAAGUGGAAUGGACGCAUGGGCAAGUUGUCAAGCAUGAAUUGUUGUUGACUUGACAUUCAAUUUUUUUUAUUUCGCUAUGUGAUUGCAUGUCACUUAAUUUAGUUAUAUCAAUCUAUUGUGGUAAGGUCUCAUUCCUUACUGAGCAGUGGUUGCUCAUCCUUUAUCCUGUUUAAUUUUUCAGAUGAAUUAGUGGGCUAGACGAGGACUAAAUCGAUUGAGGUGGAAUUAGAUGAGAGUAGUAGAGCUUUAUUUAUUUCUUGUAAAGUUGUAAGAUUUCAGAUGUAUUUUUUUAAGAGAAGUUUAUUUUAAAUCCUGUUUCAGCAUCUUUUUAUUUUAUUUUAGUUUUUAUUUUCUCACGCACUGGGCGCAGGGUUUCCACAGACCCC
Molecule: long non-coding RNA, 1490 nt
Filed under: Prunus persica (peach)
Lineage: Eukaryota; Viridiplantae; Streptophyta; Magnoliopsida; Rosales; Rosaceae
Description: long non-coding RNA (PPER_LNC008470)
Source: RNAcentral